UACGGAGGGUGCAAGCGUUAUCCGGAUUCACUGGGUUUAAAGGGUGCGUAGGCGGAUAUGUAAGUCCGUGGUGAAAUCUCAAAGCUUAACUUUGAAACUGCCAUGGAUACUAUAUAUCUUGAAUGUUGUGGAGGUUUGCGGAAUAUGUCAUGUAGCGGUGAAAUGCUUAGAUAUGACAUAGAACACCGAUUGCGAAGGCAGCAGGCUACACAAAUAUUGACGCUGAGGCACGAAAGCGUGGGGAGCAAAC
Molecule: ribosomal RNA, 250 nt
Filed under: uncultured bacterium
Lineage: Bacteria
Description: partial 16S ribosomal RNA
Rfam family: Bacterial small subunit ribosomal RNA
Source: RNAcentral